UUGUCAAGAUAAUAACUUGGAUGUUUCUCAAUUUUCACAUUUGUUUUGAAUUCUCUGCCAAAGUCAUAUAUUUAUCUUCCAGGGGAAAUCAUGUUAAUGGAAAUAAGCAUAUGUCUCCAGAUCCAAAAGCCAGAACUUACAGGGCAAUGAUAAAAGAAAUCAGAGGGAAGAAAGUAGGAGAAAGUUGGGUCAGCCCUGCCAAAGCAGGUUACACAAAAUGUGGAACUGCGAGUACAAUAAUUUGAGUGAGCUGCAACAGCAUUAUAAGGAUGGUUCAAGAUGUGGUUGCCAUGCCUCACUAAAGGGAAGUACAUUUGGACGUGAAGGAGCCAUCAGUAGGUUCAAUGAAGAGCUUGAAGGAAACUCAGAGGCCAGUGCUGGAGCAGAGGAAGAGGAACUGAUAGACCCAAACACAACGUGAGGACUGAAGGGUCCAGGUGAGGUCCAAGAGGUGCAAGGGAAGGGAAGAGAAGAAAGCAUACAGGAAGGAGAGGAGGGAAGCUGUUUCAGUAGCCCCUUCUAAAAUAGAAAGUAUAUAGUAUGCUGCUGUAUAUGUAAACAGAUACUCUAGAUUUUAGCUUUGAGUAUCGCACAAACAUCCUGUACAGUGCAAACAUCUCCUGACAUUGUAAAGUCCUCAAGGAUUCAACCAUCAAUAUCUUUCCCUACAAUAUCUACACCUGGUGUCUCUCAAAAAAAAUUCUUUCACAAAAUAAAGGCCAAAUAUUCUCUUUUGCUUUUAGUUGU
Molecule: long non-coding RNA, 747 nt
Filed under: Vulpes vulpes (red fox)
Lineage: Eukaryota; Metazoa; Chordata; Mammalia; Carnivora; Canidae
Description: lncRNA (ENSVVUG00000016730.1)
Source: RNAcentral